RNAcentral lists this ribosomal RNA (497 nucleotides) under uncultured bacterium. RNAcentral's name for it is "partial 16S ribosomal RNA". It matches the Rfam family "Bacterial small subunit ribosomal RNA", at positions 27 to 506 of the family's 1533-position model. The record is from RNAcentral.
GGACGAACGCUGGCGGCGUGCCUAAUACAUGCAAGUUGAGCGAUGAAGAUUGGUGCUUGCACCAAUUUGAAGAGCAGCGAACGGGUGAGUAACGCGUGGGGAAUCUGCCUUUGAGCGGGGGACAACAUUUGGAAACGAAUGCUAAUACCGCAUAACAACUUUAAACAUAAGUUUUAAGUUUGAAAGAUGCAAUUGCAUCACUCAAAGAUGAUCCCGCGUUGUAUUAGCUAGUUGGUGAGGUAAAGGCUCACCAAGGCGAUGAUACAUAGCCGACCUGAGAGGGGGAUCGGCCCAAUUGGGACUGGAACACGGCCAAAACCCCUACGGGGGGCAGCAGGGGGGAAUUUUCGGCAAGGGGCGAAAGUCUGCCCGAGAAACGCCGGGGGGGGGAAGAAGGUUUUGGGAACGUAAAACCUUGUUGGGAGAAAAGAACGUGGGGGGGGGGGGAAAGCCCAACAAGGGCGGGGAACAACCAAAAAAGGACCGGCUAACUACGG